RNAcentral lists this long non-coding RNA (1600 nucleotides) under Olea europaea subsp. europaea. The record is from RNAcentral. Lineage: Eukaryota; Viridiplantae; Streptophyta; Magnoliopsida; Lamiales; Oleaceae.
AUUUGAAAGAUUUCUGAGUGAAGUUCUUAGGGUUUUCUCGUCUGGAUCUCCUUCUAUAAUCUUGGUGUUUUCUCUAUAAAUUUGUUGAGUUUUUGGAACUGAUUGUUAUUGGUAAACAUUUAGUCGAGACAAAUUUGUAUAGAUUGCUUGUUCUUCGUCUUGAAAGAGAAGCGAGAGAAAUCUGAAGAAAUCUCUGAUUUCUUUAUACAUUUGUACUAUUUCUUUGUGAUUUUAUGGUGGAAUUGAGCGUAAUCUACUUGUAGAUUUUCAACGAGUGAGUACAUUAAAAGCUGAACAUCUGGGCUUUGUGGCGAAAAAUGAAAAAUUCUCGUGUUCCUUUUAUUUUUCUGCAAAACUAUAUUGUUUACAAACUAUCAUUGUAAAUUCUUUGUCAAUACGAUUCCGAGACCAUUAAGUGGUAUCAGAUCCUGAAAUUUCGUCCUUCAGGCGUUAGGGUUUGAUUUUCUUGAAACCCUAGUUUAUGUUUUCGCAGAUUUGGGAAUUUUUUUAACAUUUCGAUGGAUUUCUGGAAUAAAUCAUCUUCAAAGGGUUUUUCAUUGUUAAAUCUUUCUUCGAUCCAAAUUUUAGUUGGAUCCCUCAAAGAUUUGGUGCUUUUAAAUUUUUUUUAAGGAACUGGUAUUGAAUCUUCUUUCGUGCUUGAAUGUUUCUGAAAGUUUGAUUUACCUCUUAUCUAGAGGAUUUCGGUGUUUACUGAGUUGUUUAGCAAUUUGACUCUUGAUUUACCACUGAGUUGGUACAGUAUCUUAAAACUCGUCCUAAGUGCUAGUGAGUUGGGUUUCCUCACUUCGAGUUUAGCUGUUUUUCUUGACUCAUUUCUUAGUUGUACUGAGUCAGUGUGACUCAUGGAGUACCUAUGGUAAUUCUAGAUUUCUGAACUUGUUCUAAUAUUCUUUCCCUGCAUUCCUUUACUGAAACUUCAAAGUUUUCAGCUCUAGUGUAAUUUUUCAUACUCUUUACUUUUAGUCACACAAAUUAAAUUGUUCUUGUCUAAAUUUGAUUUGGUUAUUAAGGUAAUUGAUCCAUCAUUGCUCUCCUUUGUUCAAGAUCUCCUGAAAGGAUUGGGGAAUCUAAUGAAGUAGUGGAUUCACGGGUCAUCACCCCUUAAACCUGUCAAAUGGACAAUUCAGUUUUUAAAAUAAAUGUAUGAGUUGAUCAUUAUACUGUUAUAUAAUUCUAAAUUAUAUAAUUCUGAAUUACUUGAAUUGUAUAAUCUGUUUUAUAAAUUGUGUAAAUUGCAUGAUAACAAGAAAUUUCUGUAAUAUUGUCUUAUAGGAGAUAGACUAAAGAAAAAGGAGUUCUCGAAGCCCUAAACGAUGAAAAAUUGGACCAGAAAUAGGUUAUACGUCAUGGGCAUGGCACGAGUUUUGCUCAUUGGGACCAAUAUAUGUAUUAUGUGUGAUCGGCAAACUUACUUUGAUUAUUUCUUGUGUUUGUUAUGUAGAAUUUAUUAUGUUUGUGACCCCUUUUUAUUCAUCGAUUAUUUGUGACAGCCGUAUUUUUUCUUAUUUCAUUCAUAGUCUAUAUUCAGUUUGUGACCUCUGACAAUUCGAUUUUUUGUAGGAUCUUUAUUUUGGAUUUU